Lagopus leucura (white-tailed ptarmigan) is the source of this 2150-nucleotide long non-coding RNA. RefSeq lists it as uncharacterized. Lineage: Eukaryota; Metazoa; Chordata; Aves; Galliformes; Phasianidae. The record is from RefSeq and is a predicted model, not a curated record. The transcript is spliced from 4 exons.
CAAAGCAGAUAAUCUCAGCCUCUCUUCAUCUGGAAAAGGUGCAGAGGAAGAGCACUAGCAGACAGUUUGUGGUUAAGGAUUACUGUGAAGUUCUCAGGGUACGAGACAACAGUCAGAUAUCAGCAUUGUCAGAGUCUUCCAUGAGGACCAGGGCCAGUAAACAAGACAUUUUUUCCAGUCGUCCAGAAGAGGCCUGAUAAUCUGCUGCUUCUUUUUUAUCACACAGUCCUCAGCAGAUACCCACACCAAUAUCACCCGCGGUGGUCUGCCAGCCAGCCCAGACCCAUACGCUCUCAUCUGGGUCAUGGCAGAGCUCCAUGCAUCCCUGCUUCUCUCUAAUACAGGACAACUGUCCCUGCUCGUCAUCCCAGCCUAUCCUUCCCAAAAAGCCUGUACAAAGCCACUGCAGCACUCUAGUCAUGUGAGUGUGAUUUGCCAUUACUUUGAGAUUUCUAAAAAUCCACGCUUCAUCCACUGAAGAAUUCGAAGGAACACUGAUGGAGGAAUGAUGGCAAUGGGAUCACCUGCGUGCAUCAGCUGCACAGAAACACCCAGGUGUGUACAGGGAGAUCAAACCAAGUCCUAUGCACGUUUGAUCUAAUGCAUGAGCAGGUUUUGCUCCCAAUCCUGAACCACUUUGAACAGUGACCAUACACUUUCUUUUUCACCUAAUCUCUAGAAGAAGAUCCCUGCUCAGCCAAGCUGGCCUUCUACCCCAGCUGCAUGACUUUGGAUAUUAUGGAAUUGCUUGGUAAGAGGUGGUACAAAAAAGUGACCAGCACUGCUGGAUCCUUAUGCCUUCAGAAGCAGUUUUCAUAGAAAACUUGCCAAAUAGUUCCCUGAGCAGCAUGAAGUCUGCUUUCCCCAUAUCCAGUGUUAAUGUGGCACUUUUUCUCCUCUCACCAAAGAUUGUAUGUUCACCAAUCUCAUGGUCACUAUGGCCAAAACAGCCUCCAGUCACCAUUUCACCCGUGAGACCUUCUCUGCUUACAAGCAACAAAUCUAGGAGGGCACCUUUCCUAGUUGACUCCCUUGGUAUCUGUAACGAGAAGUACUACCAAAGACAUAAAAAUAUUUGUAUCUCUGAAAGAUCUCAGUCUUAUCCAUGAAAUCUCCCUCUUUUUUAUACUGGUCUGAAGCACAGACUGAUACUGAACAUUUCAGGAACUCCUCCAACCUUUGUGAAACAGUUAAAUUUACUUUGUGCAGAAUAUAAAUGACAUCAAUUUUGAAAGGUCAAGGUAUGAAAUAUUAUGUUAUUGCAAUACAUUUACUGUACCCACUAACUCUCACCAUCUGUACAUCACAGACAUCACUGAACUACCACAUUUUCUCUGAAAAAAAAAAGAAGAAAGGUCUUCAGAAAGCAGUAUUCUCUCAGAAUCUUGCAAUCCUUAGAAGUUUGUUCUCUUUCCAAGGAACAGUUAUAAAAGAGGUUGAAUUUCUCAUCCAGGAUAUACGAGAUUCAAGGUUAAAUCUCAAGAAGGUUUGAUCAACCUCACCCCCUUACCAAGGGAAUUUAUUAUCACCAUGUCUCAAACAAGUCAGAGUGAACCUCAAUUAGCCGUCUUAACUGUCUUCACUUUGCAUAUCGUAAUUCAGGAGGAGUUCAAAGCCUGGAAAGAUCUGAACAGUCCUAAGUCCAUUCAGCUGUUUCAUACAGUAUGCAAAAAUGUGAAGAAGAAACUACAAAACCUGGACUCAACUCUCCCAGCACCGCCACCUCUGAAGAUGAAAGAAACGAGUUUGAAUGCAACAGUGUCCACAUCAUUAACUCCACAUCAUUAAGUUGCACUGGCUCUUCUUCUUACCUUCAUUAGGGAUUUGUGAGAAAGGGAGACUCCAGUUUCAGGAGAGAGAUACUGACAUUGGAGAACCUUAAUGAGUGAGAUUCGUGCUUACUUGGGAUUUCUUACCACCACUGUGUGUUGAUAGGUGGGUCCCAUGGACCCCACUCUUGCAUACCUCACUCUCCAUAUACAUAGCACAACUGCCUAACUGUUGAAGUCUCUGCGUUGAAAAAAUGGUCCCUGAAAAUUCUUCAGUUGAUGGUGGACUCCCAGAGCAUAGUGAUGCACUGGAACGGGCUGCCCAAGGAAGUUGUGGAUGCCUCAUCCCUGGAGGCAUUCAAGGCCAGGCUGGAUGUGGCU